GCAUAUAUACCGUGAAACUGCGAAUGGCUCAUUAAAUCAGUUAUCGUUUAUUUGAUAGUACCUUACUACUUGGAUAACCGUGGUAAUUCUAGAGCUAAUACAUGCUAAAAACCUCGACUUCGGAAGGGGUGUAUUUAUUAGAUAAAAAACCAAUGCCCUUCGGGGCUCCUUGGUGAUUCAUAAUAACUUAACGAAUCGCAUGGCCUUGUGCCGGCGAUGGUUCAUUCAAAUUUCUGCCCUAUCAACUUUCGAUGGUAGGAUAGUGGCCUACCAUGGUUUCAACGGGUAACGGGGAAUUAGGGUUCUAUUCCGGAGAGGGAGCCUGAGAAACGGCUACCACAUCCAAGGAAGGCAGCAGGCGCGCAAAUUACCCAAUCCCGACACGGGGAGGUAGUGACAAUAAAUACUGAUACAGGGCUCUUUUGGGUCUUGUAAUUGGAAUGAGUACAAUUUAAAUCCCUUAACGAGGAACAAUUGGAGGGCAAGUCUGGUGCCAGCAGCCGCGGUAAUUCCAGCUCCAAUAGCGUAUAUUAAAGUUGUUGCAGUUAAAAAGCUCGUAGUUGAACCUUGGGCCUGGCUGGCCGGUCCGCCUCACCGCGUGCACUGGUCCGGCCGGGCCUUUCCUUCUGGGGAGCCGCAUGCCCUUCACUGGGUGUGUCGGGGAACCAGGACUUUUACUUUGAAAAAAUUAGAGUGUUCAAAGCAGGCCUAUGCUCGAAUACAUUAGCAUGGAAUAAUAGAAUAGGACGUGUGGUUCUAUUUUGUUGGUUUCUAGGACCGCCGUAAUGAUUAAUAGGGAUAGUCGGGGGCAUCAGUAUUCAAUUGUCAGAGGUGAAAUUCUUGGAUUUAUUGAAGACUAACUACUGCGAAAGCAUUUGCCAAGGAUGUUUUCAUUAAUCAGUGAACGAAAGUUAGGGGAUCGAAGACGAUCAGAUACCGUCGUAGUCUUAACCAUAAACUAUGCCGACUAGGGAUCGGGCGAUGUUAUCUUUUUGACUCGCUCGGCACCUUACGAGAAAUCAAAGU
This 1026-nucleotide ribosomal RNA is filed under the name Phlyctema coronillae. RNAcentral describes it as "SSU rRNA". It matches the Rfam family "Eukaryotic small subunit ribosomal RNA", at positions 69 to 1104 of the family's 1831-position model. Lineage: Eukaryota; Fungi; Ascomycota; Leotiomycetes; Helotiales; Dermateaceae. The record is from RNAcentral.